CCUACGGGAGGCAGCAGUGGGGAAUAUUGCACAAUGGGGGAAACCCUGAUGCAGCGACGCCGCGUGAGUGAAGAAGUAUUUCGGUAUGUAAAGCUCUAUCAGCAGGGAAGAAAAUGACGGUACCUGAGUAAGAAGCCCCGGCUAACUACGUGCCAGCAGCCGCGGUAAUACGUAGGGGGCAAGCGUUAUCCGGAUUUACUGGGUGUAAAGGGAGCGUAGACGGCGGUGCAAGUCUGGAGUGAAAGGCGGGGGCCCAACCCCGGGACUGCUGUGGAAACUGGCAAUCUAGAGUGCAGGAGAGGUAAGCGGAAUUCCUAGUGUAGCGGUGAAAUGCGUAGAUAUUAUGAGGAACACCGGUGGCGAAGGCGGCUUACUGGACCGCAACUGACGUUGAGGCUCGAAAGCGUGGGGAGCAAACAGGAUUAGAUACCCCAGUAGUC
Molecule: ribosomal RNA, 440 nt
Filed under: uncultured bacterium
Lineage: Bacteria
Description: partial 16S ribosomal RNA
Rfam family: Bacterial small subunit ribosomal RNA
Source: RNAcentral